GACGAACGCUGGCGGCGUGCUUAACACAUGCAAGUCGAACGGAAAGGCCCCCAUCUUGGUGGGGGUGCUCGAGGGGCGAACGGGUGAGUAACACGUGGGUGAUCUGCCCUGUACUUCGGGAUAAGCUUGGGAAACUGGGUCUAAUACCGGAUAGGACCAUGGUUUAGGGUCCCAUGGUGGAAAGAUUAUUGUUUUGGUGCAGGAUGAGCUCGCGGCCUAUCUGCUUGUUGGUGGGGUAAUGGCCUACCAAGGCGGCGACGGGUAGCCGGCCGGAGAGGGUGGACGGCCACAUUGGGACUGGGCCACGGCCCCUACGCCUGCGGGAGGCAGGGGUGGUUAGUCUUGCACGAUGGGCGUAAGCCUGCCGCAGCGCCGCCGCGUGGGGGAUGUCGGCCUUCGGGUUGUAAUCUCCUUUCGUUAGGGACGAAGCCACGCUUUUGGGGUGUGGUGACCGUUCCUUGGUGAAGAAGCACCGGCUAACUACGUG
This 487-nucleotide ribosomal RNA is filed under the name uncultured bacterium. RNAcentral describes it as "partial 16S ribosomal RNA". It matches the Rfam family "Bacterial small subunit ribosomal RNA", at positions 28 to 507 of the family's 1533-position model. The record is from RNAcentral.